Molecule: long non-coding RNA, 1300 nt
Filed under: Ricinus communis (castor bean)
Lineage: Eukaryota; Viridiplantae; Streptophyta; Magnoliopsida; Malpighiales; Euphorbiaceae
Description: long non-coding RNA (RCOM_LNC002477)
Source: RNAcentral
CCGUACACUGCAAGAGAUGUUGUAGCAUUGAGAGGCAAUCUUAAACAAAGCUAUGCCUCAAAUGAAUUGGCAAAGAAACUGUGGAGAACUCUGAAAACCCAUCAAGCAAAUGGCACCGCCUCAAGAACCUUUGGUGCCCUUGACCCUGUCCAAGUAACCAUGAUGGCUAAACACUUGGACAGCAUUUAUGUUUCUGGUUGGCAAUGUUCAUCAACUCACACUACCACCAAUGAGCCAGGUCCUGAUCUUGCUGAUUAUCCUUAUGACACUGUCCCCAACAAAGUUGAACAUCUAUUCUUUGCUCAGCAAUAUCAUGACAGGAAGCAAAGAGAGGCUAGAAUGAGCAUGAGCCGCGAGGAGAGGGCUAGAACCCCUUAUGUUGAUUAUCUUAAGCCAAUUAUUGCUGACGGGGAUACUGGAUUUGGCGGAACUACCGCUACCGUUAAGCUUUGUAAAUUGUUCGUUGAGCGUGGAGCGGCUGGUGUUCAUAUUGAGGAUCAGUCUUCUGUUACCAAGAAAUGUGGUCAUAUGGCAGGGAAAGUGCUUGUUGCUAUUAGUGAACAUAUUAAUAGACUUGUUGCAGCAAGGUUGCAGUUUGAUGUUAUGGGUGUGGAGACACUUUUGGUUGCAAGAACUGAUGCCGAGGCAGCUAAUUUAAUUCAAAGUAAUGUGGAUACUAGAGAUCAUCAGUUCAUUUUGGGUGUUACUAAUCCAAAUCUUAGAGGGAAAAGCUUGGCUACCCUUUUGGCAACUGGAAUGGCUAAUGGUAAAACAGGAGCUGAACUUCAAGCUAUUGAGGACAAUUGGCUAGCAAUGGCACAGCUUAAGACAUUUCCCGAAUGUGUAAUGGAUGCAAUUAAGAAUAUGAAUGCCGGAGAAGAUGAGAAGAGAAGGAGAAUGAAUGAAUGGAUGAAUCAUACUAGCUAUGACAAGUGCCUUUCUUAUGAGCAAGGAAGGGAGAUUGCUGAUAGAAUGGGGCUCAAGAAUCUCUUCUGGGAUUGGGAUUUGCCAAGAACAAGGGAAGGGUUUUAUAGAUUUAAAGGUUCUGUUAUGGCUGCUGUUGUUCGCGGCAGGGCUUUUGCUCCUCAUGCUGAUAUUAUCUGGAUGGAGACUGCAAAGCCAGACUUCGCUGAAUGCACCGCAUUUGCAGAAGGGGUGAAAUCCAUGCACCCAGAAAUCAUGUUAGCUUAUAAUCUUUCACCAUCUUUCAACUGGGAUGCAUCAGGAAUGACCGAUGAACAAAUGAGAGAUUUCAUUCCCAGGAUAGCCAGGUUGGGAUUCUGUUGGCAGUUUAUAACAC